ACGAACGCUGGCGGCGUGCUUAACACAUGCAAGUCGAACGGAAAGGCCCUGCUUUUGUGGGGUGCUCGAGUGGCGAACGGGUGAGUAACACGUGAGUAACCUGCCCUUGACUUUGGGAUAACUUCAGGAAACUGGGGCUAAUACCGGAUAGGAGCUCCUGCUGCAUGGUGGGGGUUGGAAAGUUUCGGCGGUUGGGGAUGGACUCGCGGCUUAUCAGCUUGUUGGUGGGGUAGUGGCUUACCAAGGCUUUGACGGGUAGCCGGCCUGAGAGGGUGACCGGCCACAUUGGGACUGAGAUACGGCCCAGACUCCUACGGGAGGCAGCAGUGGGGAAUAUUGCACAAUGGGCGGAAGCCUGAUGCAGCAACGCCGCGUGCGGGAUGACGGCCUUCGGGUAGUAAACCGCUUUCGCCUGUGACGAAGCGUGAGUGACGGUAAUGGGUAAAGAAGCACCGGCUAACUACGUG
Molecule: ribosomal RNA, 467 nt
Filed under: uncultured bacterium
Lineage: Bacteria
Description: partial 16S ribosomal RNA
Rfam family: Bacterial small subunit ribosomal RNA
Source: RNAcentral